AUGCAGAACCCUAGCAGCAAUCACCCUGCCCCGGCCGCGGCGGCGGCGGGGAAAUCCAAGUCCUCGGGGCAGGCCGCGGCAACGGCCUCGGGCCAGGGCCAUCAGCCCUCCCCAACCACGCCUGCGGCUGCCAAGUCCAAGUCCUCGGCCGCGGCAGGGGCCUCGGGCCACGGCCACAACUCCUCCCCGGCCACGCCGGCGGCCGGCAAGUCCAAGGUCUCGGCGCAUGCCGUGGCACCGGGCCAGGCGUCCUCCUCCAACCAACCCCACGCCGUCGGCGGCGCUGACGCAGCCGCAUCGAGCCUUAAGCGCAAGCGCGGCGUCUUCCAGAAGGACCUGCAGCACAUGAUGUAUGGGUUUGGGGACGAUCCAAAUCCACUUCCAGAAACAGUUGCACUUGUAGAGGACAUUGUUGUGGAAUAUGUUACUGACCUCGUCCACAAGGCUCAGAAUGUGGCUUCAAAGAGGGGGAAGCUCUUGACAGAGGAUUUUCUUUACCUUAUCCGAAAGGAUAUGCGGAAACUGCACCGCGCUACCGAGCUACUCUCCAUGAAUGAAGAGCUCAAGCAAGCAAGGAAAGCUUUUGAUGUGAAUGAAGAAACACUAGUAGUAACCAAUGAGUGA
RNAcentral lists this ribosomal RNA (624 nucleotides) under Triticum aestivum (bread wheat). RNAcentral describes it as "partial small subunit ribosomal RNA". Lineage: Eukaryota; Viridiplantae; Streptophyta; Magnoliopsida; Poales; Poaceae. The record is from RNAcentral.